GAUGAACGCUAGCUACAGGCUUAACACAUGCAAGUCGCGGGGCAGCAUGGGGGUUGCUUGCAACCCCCGAUGGCGACCGGCGCACGGGUGAGUAACGCGUAUCCAACCUGCCCUUCACCACGGGAUAACCCGGCGAAAGUCGGACUAAUACCGUAUGUUGUCCAUUGACGGCCUCCGAUUUGGACGAAAGGUUUGGCGGUGAAGGAUGGGGAUGCGUCCGAUUAGCUGGACGGCGGGGUGACGGCCCACCGUGGCGACGAUCGGUAGGGGUUCUGAGAGGAAGGUACCCCACACUGGAACUGAGACACGGUCCAGACUCCUACGGGAGGCAGCAGUGAGGAAUAUUGGUCAAUGGGCGUAAGCCUGAACCAGCCAAGUAGCGUGCAGGAGGACGGCCCUAUGGGUUGUAAACUGCUUUUAUGCGGGGAUAAAGUGGCCCACGUGUGGGUUUUUGCAGGUACCGCAUGAAUAAGGACCGGCUAAUUCCGUG
RNAcentral lists this ribosomal RNA (490 nucleotides) under uncultured bacterium. RNAcentral's name for it is "partial 16S ribosomal RNA". It matches the Rfam family "Bacterial small subunit ribosomal RNA", at positions 28 to 507 of the family's 1533-position model. The record is from RNAcentral.